UCCCCCUCCUCUAAUAGCCCAAAAGAGUUCUUCUCCCAUGGGUUUUCUGUCAAGAACUCUGCCAUUAACGUCGACAAUUUUAGCAUCAAGGACAUUGUCAGCUGCCAGACCAUACUUCCUGAACAAGGUACCAAAUCCACCUCCACUAAUAUGUCCCCCCACACCUAUGGUAGGACAUGACCCCGCUGGAAAUCCAUAAGCCUUACUUUUUUCUGCAAUUCUGUAAUACAACUCUCCAAGAGUAGCACCGGAUUCAACCCAAGCACUCCCAUUCUCUAUGUCAACAUCAAUAGACCGAAGAUUGAAAAGAUCAAUGAUGACAAAAGGAGCUCUGGCUACGUAAGAUUGGCCCUCGUAGUCAUGGCCCCUGCUUCGGAUUCUGAUUAGCACGCCCUUUUCUUGGAGCAAAUUACAGCCGCUUGAACAUGAGAGUCAUGAAGGAGAGUAAUGAUAGCUUCUGGUCUUGAUGUUCCUCUGGUCACGAAUAUGAGGUUUUGUAUGGAAGAUUGCACGGCUGAGAAAUAAGCAGAACUGCGUUUGGUGAUAAUGAUUUGCUAUAGUUAUGCUUUAUGUCGGAAGUAAAACAUUGAAGAAAGCUUUCUACAGCGGAAUUUGAAGUUGCGGACCAAACUAAGUUGAAAAGGAUGAAAAGUAGAGGAAGUAGUUUCAUGUGUAAGGUCACCAUUUUGAUUUCCUCUGCACAUAUGAAAUGCAUAAUAUAUGUACUAUGACUUGGAAAAUUAGUGGAGGUGGAUUGUGUUUGUAUGUUACUAGUGGGAGAAAAACUUUGUUGUAACGGGAUAUAGUUUUGUUAUUUCUGGCCAAUAAUAUUAUGUCAUACGAAAGUAUUAUCACGUAUGUCAUAGUAUUAUUGACUGAGAAUAAAUAAAAAAAAGUAUUAUCCCCAUUUCAUAGAAGUCUUUCUCCAACAAUAGAGGCAUAUCUCAAAAUUUAUGUAAACAGUUUUUUACUGCUAGCUAGUCCAUGGCAUUAUGUCAACUUGUCAAGCGUCUGCUUAAAACAUCUUAGAUUAUAUCUUCUCAAGUCAUAUAGCUAUAAGGUGGAAUUUAUAUAUACUUGCACGACAAAAAUAGCUAUUUUCUUUGCUCUUAAUAAUUCCUUUCCUAGUGUGCAAUGUUGAAAUGGUGAAUGGCCCAGCAUUGACCACCCCAAUUCCAAUCUCUUCUGCCACAUGAAUUGGGUUAUUUUUGUGCCCCACUUUCCAGUCUUCUAACUGGUCAAUGCUUCUUCUUUUUUUGUUACAUUUAUUGCUUGGUUAGCACUAUGAAUGUUUACCAAUAUUUGAUUAGAAGUGCUGUAAUAUUCUUUGAAUAUAUCCACUAAUUUGGAUCACAUGCACUGCGGAAUAUUACUUGGUGGAGGGUUAUUGGAAGCAAAGUUCCACCAAGGACAUGUUGAGGCACGACGGGUUAAAAAAACCUAGAAUCAGGGAAUUUGGUUUGGUUCUGGAAAAUUAAUUGGUCAGUUUAGGUGAAUAAGGAGUACGGACAAAUAUAGCUAGUUGCUAAAAUUUCUGUCUUGGUCGACUGUUCAGAGCAAGCUUUUUUGCUACCUCUAUUUGGUUGGGCCUUAAGAAGUUGUUGCCUCAAAUCCUGGAGAACUCUCAAUGGGUAAUUGGCAAUGGUUCUCAAAUUGAUUUUUGGACUGAUACUUGGAUUUGCGAUUCUUUGAUGCAUUUGUUAGGCAUUCCUCCCUAAGUGGCUUUCACUUUUCAUGCUAAAGUUGCUGAUUUUAUUAAUAAUUGUCGUUGGGAUUUGCCUGUGAAUUUUGUAAGGGCCUUUUCGCAUUUGGCAGCUUCUAUGGAGGCUAUUGAUUUGCCUAUUGAGCCGUAUGCUGAUCAACUUAUUUGGACUGGUGCUAUGUCUGACAUUUUAUCAGCGAAAGAAGCAUAUUUGUGGCUUUCUUCUCAUAAUGUCUCCGUGCAAUUCUGUAACUUGGUCAUUUUAGGUGAAUAAUGAGUAUGGACAAAUAGCUAGUUGCUAAAAUUUCUGUAACUUGGUCGAUUGUUCAUAGCAACCCAUUAUCAAAUUAGUUGCUUUUUUGCUGCCCAUGUGCUCGUAUAAUAUAACCUUCUUCAAAUAACGAGAAAAAACUCUGUGAGGUAUUUCAUCAAACACCUUGUUCGUAUAUGAAUGCAAAUGCAACUUAAGUAAAGGUUAGGCCUUUCUUAAUUGGUUUGUCCCCAUGUGAUGAAAUGAUGAAAUGAAAUGAACACUAUCAUAAUACAAAGAAAAUGAUGAAAUGAACACUAUCAGAAUUUAGAAGAGUGCUUCUGAAAUUUGGUUUUCAUUUUCACUGUUUUGGUAAGACAGAGUUUUGAAGAAAGUUCCAAACUUUAUUCAUUGUUGGCAAUUGGGAUUGCUAAUAUUAUCAUGUACUCAUUGUUGAAACUCUAGUUCUUCCUAGAUAGGCACACUGGGAUGCUUUGUUCAUCCCUGAAGAAAUUACCAGGAUCAACUAAGCUCUUAACAUGAACAAGUCUCCUAAAGUUGUUCUUGAAAUACUUCAGACCCCAGAUGCUUGCUUCUGCAUAGCUUGUAUGAACAUCCUUGUUCCUCCCCAAGUCAAGAUCCUUAUAAUUCAAAUAGGCAGCUCUUGGGAACUUUGAAACAUAUGGUGCCAUGUAGUCAUACAGCUUUCUCAUCAAGCCAAUAUAUUUCUCAGUUUCCCUGUAAUCAUUCCAAGUGACCAUAUACUGGAUUUUGAAUAGAUUUCCACUUCUGUGUGGGAAAGGAAUUUCUGAAUUGGAAAUCUCACUCAUUUUUCCACCAUAAGGUGUCAAUAUCAGGUAAGCCCCCACUUCAAUUAGUGUUUGCCAUAAACCUUUCAAGCCAGCUUCUGAAAUAGGUUGAGUCACAUAGUCUGAUUUCGCUUUGAAGAAGCUCUUAGAUUUUAUAGUCCUACUUAGCAAAGCUUCUGAUUCGUUUCUUGGGAUGUAAUCAAAGUAAAGAACAGACUCAAUCCAACUCAUUUCAGUGCAAUCGCUGCGGUCAACACUUAACUCUGGAAAAUUGUCCUGCAUCAAAAGGAGAAGUUUCUCCACCGGCCCAAGAAACAAUGAACCGAAUUCAAUUACAAUAGUUUUGCCACCAUUUGUGCCAGCUUUAUUUCCAACACCUAUGACUGUAUGUAGGAAAAGGUCUUCAUGAAGCUUAUCCGCAAUGUUUUGCCAUUUAGAAAAAAGUUUGGUUGCCCCUUGUUCUGCGGUCUUUGAAAAUCUGAAAACUGUAACAGAUGGAGGAACAGGAACCAGUCUAAGUUUCCAUGCCAGAAUGACUCCAAAGCUUGAGCCUCCCCCUCCUCUAAUAGCCCAAAAGAGUUCUUCUCCCAUGGAUUUUCUGUCAAGAAUUCUGCCAUUAACGUCGACAAUUUUAGCAUCAAGGACAUUGUCAGCUGCCAGACCAUACUUCCUAAACAAGGUACCGAAUCCACCUCCACUAAUAUGUCCCCCCACACCUAUGGUAGGACAUGACCCUGCUGGAAAUCCAUAAGCCUUACUUUUUUCUGCGGUUCUGUAAUACAACUCUCCAAGAGUAGCACCGGAUUCAACCCAAGCACUCUCAUUUUCUAUAUCAACAUCGAUAGAUCGAAGAUUGAAAAGAUCAAUGAUGACAAAAGGAGCUCUGGAUACAUAAGAUUGGCCCUCGUAGUCAUGGCCCCCGCUUCGGAUUCUGAUUAGUAGGCCCUUUUUCUUGGAGCAAAUUACAGCCGCUUGAACAUGAGAGUCAUGAAAGGGAGUAAUGAUAGCUUCUGGUUUUGAUGUUGAACUGGUCAAGAAUCUGAGGUUUUGUAUGGAAGACUGCACGACUGAGAAAUAAGCGGAACUGUGUUUGGUGAUAAUGAUUUUGCUAGAGUUAUAUUGCUGUAUGUGGGAGGCAAAACAUUGAAGAAAGCUUUCUGCAGCUGAACUUGAAGUUGUGGAACAAACUGAGUGGAAAAGGAUGAAAAGUAGAGGAAGUAGUUUCAUGUGUAAGGUCACCAUUUUGAUUUCCUCUGUACAUAUGAAAUGCAUGGGCUAUUAGCUCUCUAAUAUAUGCACUAUGACUUGGAAAAUAUGAGUUCAAAAAAAGUGACUUGGAAAAUUAGUGGAGGUGGAUUAUGUUUGUAUGUCAAUAGUGGGAGAAAAACUUAGUUGCAAUCGGAUAUCACUGUUUUGCUAUUUUUGGCCAAUUAUGUUAUGUCAUACGAAAAUAUUAUCAUGCGUGUUAUAAUGUUAUUGACCGAGAAUAACAAAACAGUGUUGUCCCAUGUUUCAUAAAAUCUUCUUCAGUGGAGGCAUAUCUCAAAAGUUAUAUAAACUUUUUCACUAUUAGGGCAUUUGCUUGAUGGACAUGGCAUUAUGUAGUCAAGAGUCAACCUUGCUUAAAAUAUCUUAGAUUAUGUGUUGUCAAGUCAUACAGCUAUAAGGUGGAAUUUAUAUAUACUUUCACGACAAAGAUAGCUAUUUUCUUUGCUCUUAAUAAUUCAUUUCCUAGCGUGCAAUGGUGAAUGGCUCAAGAUUGAACACACCAAUUCCAAUCUCUGCCACAUGAAUUGGGUUUUUUUGGUCCCACUUUCCAGGCUUCUAAUCGGUCAAUGUUUUUGUUGUAGUUACAUUUAUAUUCUUUGAAUUAUGUCCACUAGUUUGGAUCAUAUGUACUGCGGAAUAUUACUUGGCGGAUGGUUAUUGGAAGCAAAAUUCCACCAAGGACAUGUUGAGGCAGGCCGAGUUAGAAAAAAACAUAGAAUCAGGGAAUUUGGUUUGGUGCUGGCAAAUUAACUGGUCGAAUAACGCAUAUGGACAAUAGCUAGUUGCUAAAAUUUCCGUGUCUUGGUCGACUGUUGGGAGCAACCCAUUAUCAAAUUAGUUGGCUUUUUGCUGCCCAUGUGCUUCCUAUAAUAUAACUUUCUUCAAAUAAUGAGAAAAUACUAUUUGAGGCAUUUCAUCAAACACCUUGUUGGUAUUUGACCAAAAAACAAAAAAACACCUUGUUGGUAUAUGAAUGCACACGCAAUUUAAGAAAGGCAAGUGGGGCCAAAACAUCAUAAUUCACAUCAUAAUUCAAAGAAAAUCGAGGGGGGAAAAAAGGACAAGGGAAACUAUGAUAUGAACAGUAUCACAAUAACAGAAAAAUGGGUUUGAAGAUAGUUCCAAACUUUAUUCAUUGUAGGCAAUUGGGAUUGCUAAUAUUAUCAUGUAUUGAUUGUUGAAGCUCUAUUUCUUCCUAGAUGGAUACACAGGGAUGCUUUGUUCAUCCCUGAAGAAGUUACCAGGAUCAACUAAGGUCUUCACUUGAGCAAGUCUCCUGAAGUUAUUCUUGAAGUAACUGAAACCCCAAAUGCUUGCUUGUGCAUAGCUUGUAUUAGCAUCCUUGUUCCUCCCCAAGUCAAGAUCCUUGUAGUUCAAAUAGGCAGCUCUUGGGGACUUUGAAACAUAUGGUGCCAUGUAGGAAUACAGCUUUCUCAUCAUGCCAAUAUGUUUCUCAGUUUCCUUCUCAUCAUCCCAAGUGACCAUAUACUGGAUUUUGAAUAGAUUUCCACUUCUGUGUGGGAAAGGAAUUUCUGAAUUGGAAAUCUCACUCAUUUUUCCGCCAUAAGGUGUCAAUAUGAGGUAAGCCCCUACUUCAAUUAGGUUUUGCCAUAAACCUUCCAAGCCAGCUUCUGAAAUAGGUUCAUUGACAUAGUCUGAUUUUGCUUUGAAGAAGCUCUUAGAUUGUUGAGUCCUAUUGAGCAAAGCUUCUGAUUCGUUUAUUGAGAUGCUAGCAAAGUAAAGAACAGACUCGAUCCAACUCAUUUCAGUGCAAUCGCUGCGGGCUACACUUAACUCUGGAAAAUUGUCCUGCAUCAAAAGGAGAAGUUUCUCCACCGGCCCAAGAAACAAUGAACGGAAUUCAAUAACAAUAGUUUUGCCACCAUUUGUGCCAGCUUUAUCUCCAACACCUAUGACUGUAUCUAGGAAAAGGUCUUCAUGAAACUUGUCUGCAAUGUUUUGCCAUUUAGAAAGAAGUUUGGUUGCACCUUGUUCUGUGGUCUUUGAAAUUGAGAAAACUGUUACAGAUGGAGGGACAGGAACCAACCUAAGUUUCCAUGCCACAAUAACUCCGAAGCUUGAACCUCCCCCUCCUCUAAUAGCCCAAAAGAGUUCUUCUCCCAUGGAUUUUCUGUCAAGAACUCUGCCAUUAACGUCGACAAUUUUAGCAUCAAGGACAUUGUCAGCUGCCAGACCAUACUUCCUGAACAAGGUACCAAAUCCACCUCCACUAAUAAGCCCCCCCACACCCACAGUAGGACAUGACCCUGCUGGAAAUCCAUAAGCCUUACUUUUUUCUGCAAUUCUGUAAUACAACUCUCCAAGAGUAGCACCGGAUUCAACCCAAGCACUCUCAU
Molecule: long non-coding RNA, 6387 nt
Filed under: Prunus persica (peach)
Lineage: Eukaryota; Viridiplantae; Streptophyta; Magnoliopsida; Rosales; Rosaceae
Description: long non-coding RNA (PPER_LNC004027)
Source: RNAcentral